Molecule: ribosomal RNA, 253 nt
Filed under: uncultured bacterium
Lineage: Bacteria
Description: partial 16S ribosomal RNA
Rfam family: Bacterial small subunit ribosomal RNA
Source: RNAcentral
GACAGAGGGUGCGAACGUUGCUCGGAAUUACUGGGCGUAAAGCGCGUGUAGGCGGGUAAUCAAGUCAGGUGUGAAAUCCCUGGGCUCAACCCAGGAACUGCACUUGAAACUGGUUGCCUUGAGUGUUGGAGAGGGAAGCGGAAUUCCUGGUGUAGAGGUGAAAUUCGUAGAUAUCAGGAGGAACACCGGUGGCGAAGGCGGCUUCCUGGACAAUUACUGACGCUGAGACGCGAACGCGUGGGGAGCAAACAGG